CCUACGGGUGGCUGCAGUGAGGAAUAUUGGUCAAUGGGCGCGCGCCUGAACCAGCCAAGUAGCGUGAAGGAUGACUGCCCUAUGGGUUGUAAACUUCUUUUAUCAAGGAAUAAAGUGAGCCACGUGUGCCUUUUUGUAGGUACCUUAUGAAUAAGGAUCGGCUAACGCCGUGCCAGCAGCCGCGGUAAUACGGAGGAUUCGAGCGUUAGUCGGAUUUAUUGGGUUUAAAGGGAGCGUAGGUGGGUUGUUAAGUCAGUUGUGAAAGUUUGCGGCUCAAACGUAAAAUUGCAGUUGAUACUGGCAGUCUUGAGUACGGUUGAGGUAGGCGGAAUGCGUGGUGUAGCGGUGAAAUGCAUAGAUAUCACGAAGAACUCCGAUUGCGAAGGCAGCUUACUAAACUGCCACUGACAUUGAUGCACGAAAGUGUGGGUAUCAAACAGGAUUAGAUACCCUUGUAGUC
RNAcentral lists this ribosomal RNA (460 nucleotides) under uncultured bacterium. Its description in RNAcentral is "partial 16S ribosomal RNA". It matches the Rfam family "Bacterial small subunit ribosomal RNA", at positions 338 to 795 of the family's 1533-position model. The record is from RNAcentral.